This 296-nucleotide unclassified non-coding RNA is filed under the name Hevea brasiliensis (rubber tree). The record is from RNAcentral. Lineage: Eukaryota; Viridiplantae; Streptophyta; Magnoliopsida; Malpighiales; Euphorbiaceae.
AUAAAAAACUUCUCUUAUGAUUGCCAUGUCCAUGGUUGAUGAGUAACUCACGCUGGCAAUCUUUCCAUCUGGAGCAAUAAAUGAAUGUUCUGGAGAAGUUGAUGGAUUGGUUUCCAGAUAUCCGUCUGGCCCUUCAAUCAACCAGUCUAACAAAAAUGAUGUACAUCCUUCCAACAGAGGGUAUGCCUCAUUUUCUAGAAAAUCCUGGUCCAUUGUGUAAUUAUAGUGCUCCCACAAAUGGGUACAAAGCCAGGCCCCACCCAUUGGCCACAAUGCCGACUUAACCUUUCCUCCAC